Molecule: transfer RNA, 89 nt
Filed under: Limosa haemastica
Lineage: Eukaryota; Metazoa; Chordata; Aves; Charadriiformes; Scolopacidae
Description: tRNA-Pro
Rfam family: tRNA (bases 20-89)
About the family: Transfer RNA (tRNA) molecules are approximately 80 nucleotides in length. Their secondary structure includes four short double-helical elements and three loops (D, anti-codon, and T loops).
Source: RNAcentral
GAUGCGCCGCCGGCGGCGGCAGAGAAUAGUUUAGUAUAAAAUACCAGCUUUGGGAGUUGGAGAUAGAGGUUUAAGUCCUCUUUUUCUGA